CAGCAGCCGCGGUAAUACGAAGGGUGCAAGCGUUAAUCGGAAUUACUGGGCGUAAAGCGUGCGUAGGCGGUUUGUUAAGUCUGCUGUGAAAUCCCCGGGCUCAACCUGGGAAUGGCAAUGGAUACUGGCAAGCUAGAGUGUGUCAGAGGAUGGUGGAAUUCCCGGUGUAGCGGUGAAAUGCGUAGAGAUCUGGAGGAAUACCGGUGGCGAAGGCGGCCCCCUGGACAAAGACUGACGCUCAGGUGCGAAAGCGUGGGGAGCAAACAGGAUUAGAUACCCCUGUAGUCCCUGUCUCUUAUAC
Molecule: ribosomal RNA, 301 nt
Filed under: uncultured bacterium
Lineage: Bacteria
Description: partial 16S ribosomal RNA
Rfam family: Bacterial small subunit ribosomal RNA
Source: RNAcentral